Molecule: ribosomal RNA, 750 nt
Filed under: uncultured bacterium
Lineage: Bacteria
Description: bacterial SSU rRNA
Rfam family: Bacterial small subunit ribosomal RNA
Source: RNAcentral
GAUGAACGCUAGCGGUGUGCCUAACACAUGCAAGUCGAGCGGGGUUUAUGUAGAGGGAGUGCUUGCACAAACGAAAUAUAAACCUAGCGGCGGAUGGGUGAGUAACACGUGAGCAACCUGCCUUUGACUGGGGAAUAACAGCGGGAAACCGUUGCUAAUACCGCAUGAUAUUGCAUAUUCGCAUGGAUAAGCAAUCAAAGAUUUUAUCGGUCAAAGAUGGGCUCGCGUCCGAUUAGCUAGUUGGUAAGGUAAAGGCUUACCAAGGCGACGAUCGGUAGCCGGACUGAGAGGUUGAACGGCCACAUUGGGACUGAGACACGGCCCAGACUCCUACGGGAGGCAGCAGUGGGGAAUAUUGGGCAAUGGGCGCAAGCCUGACCCAGCGACACCGCGUGAUGGAAGAAGGCCUUCGGGUUGUAAACAUCUUUGGACAGGGACGAUAAUGACGGUACCUGUAGAACAAGCCACGGCUAACUACGUGCCAGCAGCCGCGGUAAUACGUAGGUGGCAAGCGUUAUCCGGAAUUACUGGGUGUAAAGGGCGCGUAGGCGGUUAUUUAGGUUGGUUGUUUAAUUCCUAGGCUUAACUUAGGAUUGUCGACCAAAACCGGAUAACUUGAGGAUCGGAGAGGACAGUGGAAUUCCUAGUGUAGCGGUAAAAUGCAUAGAUAUUAGGAGGAACACCAGUGGCGAAGGCGACUGUCUGGCCGAUAACUGACGCUGAGGCGCGAAAGCGUGGGUAGCAAACAGG